This 91-nucleotide transfer RNA is filed under the name Nocardia cerradoensis. RNAcentral describes it as "tRNA-Sec". The record is from RNAcentral. Lineage: Bacteria; Bacillati; Actinomycetota; Actinomycetes; Mycobacteriales; Nocardiaceae.
GGUCGUGUUGCGCGACGGCAGUCGCCUGCUGAUCUUCAACAUCUGCUGGGGUUACGAGAUCUCCUGGGCGUUCGACGUGUCCCACGGCUAC